GACGAACGCUGGCGGCGUGCUUAACACAUGCAAGUCGAACGGAAAGGCCCUGCUUUUGUGGGGUGCUCGAGUGGCGAACGGGUGAGUAACACGUGAGUAACCUGCCCUUGACUUUGGGAUAACUUCAGGAAACUGGGGCUAAUACCGGAUAGGAGCUCCUGCUGCAUGGUGGGGGUUGGAAAGUUUCGGCGGUUGGGGAUGGACUCGCGGCUUAUCAGCUUGUUGGUGGGGUAGUGGCUUACCAAGGCUUUGACAGGUAGCCGGCCUGAGAGGGUGACCGGCCACAUUGGGACUGAGAUACGGCCCAGACUCCUACGGGAGGCAGCAGUGGGGAAUAUUGCACAAUGGGCGGAAGCCUGAUGCAGCAACGCCGCGUGCGGGAUGACGGCCUUCGGGUUGUAAACCGCUUUCGCCUGUGACGAAGCGUGAGUGACGGUAAUGGGUAAAGAAGCACCGGCUAACUACGCG
This 468-nucleotide ribosomal RNA is filed under the name uncultured bacterium. Its description in RNAcentral is "partial 16S ribosomal RNA". It matches the Rfam family "Bacterial small subunit ribosomal RNA", at positions 28 to 507 of the family's 1533-position model. The record is from RNAcentral.